UACGGGGGGGGCAAGCGUUGCUCGGAAUUACUGGGCGUAAAGCGUGCGCAGGCGGUUAUGUAAGACAGGUGUGAAAUCCCAGGGCUUAACCUUGGAACUGCAUUUGUGACUGCAUAGCUAGAGUACGGUAGAGGGGGAUGGAAUUCCGCGUGUAGCAGUGAAAUGCGUAGAUAUGCGGAGGAACACCGAUGGCGAAGGCAAUCCCCUGGACCUGUACUGACGCUCAUGCACGAAAGCGUGGGGAGCAAACAGG
Molecule: ribosomal RNA, 253 nt
Filed under: uncultured bacterium
Lineage: Bacteria
Description: partial 16S ribosomal RNA
Rfam family: Bacterial small subunit ribosomal RNA
Source: RNAcentral